GCCGGGUGCAGUGGCGCGUGCCUGUAGUCCCAGCUACUCGGGAGGCUAAGGUGGGAGGAUCGCUUGAGCCCAGGAGUUCUGGGCUGUAGUGCACUGUGCCGAUCGGGUAUUCACACUAAGUUCGGCAUCAAUAUGGUGAUCUCCCGGGAGCAGGGGACCACCAGGUUACCUAAGGAGGGGUGAACCAGCCCAGGUCGGAAACGGAGCAGGUCAAAACUCCCGUGCUGAUCAGCAGUGGGAUCCCGCCUGUGAAUAGCCACUGCACUCCAGCCUGGGCGACAUAGUGAGACCCCAUCUCU
Unclassified non-coding RNA from Cebus imitator (Panamanian white-faced capuchin), 299 nucleotides. It matches the Rfam family "Metazoan signal recognition particle RNA". Rfam says of the family: The signal recognition particle (SRP) is a universally conserved ribonucleoprotein. The record is from Ensembl. NCBI's taxonomy places the organism in Eukaryota, Metazoa, Chordata, Mammalia, Primates, Cebidae.